This 186-nucleotide unclassified non-coding RNA is filed under the name uncultured Russula. RNAcentral's name for it is "sequence contains ITS1". Lineage: Eukaryota; Fungi; Basidiomycota; Agaricomycetes; Russulales; Russulaceae. The record is from RNAcentral.
UCGUACAACGGGGGUGCGAGGGCUGUCGCUGACCUUUCAAGGGUCGUGCACGCCCGAGUGCUCUCACAAUCCAUCUCACCCUUUGUGCAUCACCGCGUGGGUCCCCCUUUACGGGAGGGCUCGCGUUUUCACAUAAAACUCGAUACAGUAUAGAAUGUUUAUUUUUGCGGUCACACGCAAUCAAUA